GUGCUCACUCCGGCAGCACACAUACUAACACUGGAAGGAUGCAGAGAAGAUUAGCACGGUCCUUCUGCAAGGAUGACAUGCAAAUUCAUGAAGCGUUCCAUAUUUUA
Molecule: small nuclear RNA, 107 nt
Organism: Pipistrellus kuhlii (Kuhl's pipistrelle)
Lineage: Eukaryota; Metazoa; Chordata; Mammalia; Chiroptera; Vespertilionidae
Source: RefSeq, a predicted model, not a curated record